Triticum aestivum (bread wheat) is the source of this 135-nucleotide non-coding RNA. Lineage: Eukaryota; Viridiplantae; Streptophyta; Magnoliopsida; Poales; Poaceae. The record is from Rfam.
UUAAUAUUACCUCCAUCCCAAAUUAGUUGUCUUACAUUUAUCUAGAUACGGACAUACCUAACACUAAAACAUGUCUAGAUACAUCCAUAUUUACACAAAUCUAAGACAACUAAUUCGGGGAGGAGUGAGUACUAA